GAUGAAGAACGCAGCGAAAUGCGAUAAGUAAUGUGAAUUGCAGAAUUCAGUGAAUCAUCGAAUCUUUGAACGCACAUUGCGCCCGCCAGUAUUCUGGCGGGCAUGCCUGUUCGAGCGUCAUUUCAACCCUCAGGCCCCCAGUGCCUGGCGUUGGGGAUCGGCGCGGCGCCCUCCGGGGCGCUGCCGGCCCCGGAAUUCAGUGGCGGUCUCGCUGUAGCCCUCCUCCGCGUAGUAGCACAACCUCGCGGCCUGGAGCUCGGCGGUGGCCAUGCCGUAAAACACCCCACUUCUGAAAGUUGACCUCGGAUCAGGUAGGAAUACCCGCUGAACUUAAGCAUAUCAAUAAGCGGAGGA
RNAcentral lists this unclassified non-coding RNA (354 nucleotides) under soil metagenome. Its description in RNAcentral is "partial contains 5.8S ribosomal RNA, internal transcribed spacer 2, and large subunit ribosomal RNA". The stretch from base 1 to 120 matches the Rfam family "5.8S ribosomal RNA", at positions 35 to 154 of the family's 154-position model. The record is from RNAcentral.